GCCCAGACCCCUACGGGGGGCAGCAACUAGGAAUCUUCCACAAUGGACGAAAGUCUGAUGGAGCAACGCCGCGUGCAGGAUGAAAGCCUUCGGGUUGUAAACUGCUUUUUUCUGUGAUGAUUAUGACAGUAGCAGACGAAUAAGGAUCGGCUAACUCCGUGCCAGCAGCCGCGGUCAUACGGAGGAUCCAAGCGUUAUCCGGAAUUACUGGGCGUAAAGAGUUGCGUAGGCGGUUAAGUAAGUAGUGUGUGAAAUGACAGGGCUCAACCCUGUGCCCAUACACUAAACUGCUUUGACUAGAGAAUGGAAGAGGUCGCUGGAAUUCCUGGUGUAGGGGUGAAAUCCGUAGAUAUCAGGAGGAACACCGAUGGCGUAGGCAGGCGACUGGUCCAUUUCUGACGCUCAGGCACGAAAGCGUGGGGAGCGAUCGGGAUUAGAUACCCCGGUAGUCCACGCCGUAAACGAUGGAUGCUAGCUGUACGGAGUAUCGACCCUCUGUGUAGCAAAGCUAACGCGUUAAGCAUCCCGCCUGUGGAGUACGAGCGCAAGCUUAAAACAUAAAGGAAUUGACGGGGACCCGCACAAGCGGUGGAGCGUGUUGUUUAAUUCGAUGGUAAGCGAAGAACCUUACCCAGGUUUGACAUCCUACUAAUCUUUCCGAAAGGAAAGAGUGCCUUCGGGCCGUAGUGACAGGUGCUGCAUGGCCGUCGUCAGCUCGUGUCGUGAGAUGUUUGGUUAAGUCCAUCAACGAGCGCAACCCUUAUAGUUAGUUGGAUUUUUCUAGCUAGACUGCCCCGGUAACGGGGAGGAAGGAGGGGAUGAUGUCAGGUCAGUAUUGCCCUUACACCUGGGGCUACAAACACGCUACAAUGGCCGGUACAAAGGGCUGCCAACCCGCGAGGGGGAGCAAAUCCCAUCAAAGCCGGUCUCAGUUCGGAUUGCAGGCUGAAACUCGCCUGCAUGAAGCUGGAAUCGCUAGUAACGGUAGGUCAGCACACUACCGUGAAUACGUUCCCGGGUCUUGUACACACCGCCCGUCAAGCCACGAAAGUCGCCAAUAUCCAACGUCCUAGCUUGUACU
RNAcentral lists this ribosomal RNA (1081 nucleotides) under uncultured bacterium TM7LH15. Its description in RNAcentral is "bacterial SSU rRNA". It matches the Rfam family "Bacterial small subunit ribosomal RNA", at positions 329 to 1440 of the family's 1533-position model. Lineage: Bacteria; Candidatus Saccharimonadota. The record is from RNAcentral.